Small nucleolar RNA from Pseudophryne corroboree (corroboree frog), 141 nucleotides. NCBI's taxonomy places the organism in Eukaryota, Metazoa, Chordata, Amphibia, Anura, Myobatrachidae. The record is from RefSeq and is a predicted model, not a curated record.
CACUGCUCUAAUCCAAGCUACGAUAGCGCUGCCCAGUCGCUGUUGUGGACAGUAGUGAGCCCAGAAUGACGCUUUCCUGACGGUCGCUGGUUAGGGUCAGUACUGUACCUGAUCUGCAACAUUACUGGGGGAACUACACCC